AGUGAACGCUGGCGGUAGGCCUAACACAUGCAAGUCGAACGGCAGCACAGUGAGAGCUUGCUCUUACGGGUGGCGAGUGGCGGACGGGUGAGGAAUACAUCGGAAUCUACUUUUUCGUGGGGGAUAACGUAGGGAAACUUACGCUAAUACCGCAUACGACCUACGGGUGAAAGCAGGGGAUCUUCGGACCUUGCGCGAUUGAAUGAGCCGAUGUCGGAUUAGCUAGUUGGCGGGGUAAAGGCCCACCAAGGCGACGAUCCGUAGCUGGUCUGAGAGGAUGAUCAGCCACACUGGAACUGAGACACGGUCCAGACUCCUACGGGAGGCAGCAGUGGGGAAUGUUGGACAAUGGGCGCAAGCCUGAUCCAGCCAUACCGCGUGGGUGAAGAAGGCCUUCGGGUUGUAAAGCCCUUUUGUUGGGAAAGAAAAGCAGCAGGUUAAUACCCCGCUGUUCUGACGGUACCCAAAGAAUAAGCACCGGCUAACUUCGUG
This 492-nucleotide ribosomal RNA is filed under the name uncultured bacterium. RNAcentral describes it as "partial 16S ribosomal RNA". It matches the Rfam family "Bacterial small subunit ribosomal RNA", at positions 29 to 507 of the family's 1533-position model. The record is from RNAcentral.